This 790-nucleotide ribosomal RNA is filed under the name uncultured archaeon. RNAcentral's name for it is "bacterial SSU rRNA". It matches the Rfam family "Archaeal small subunit ribosomal RNA", at positions 85 to 876 of the family's 1478-position model. The record is from RNAcentral.
ACGGCUCAGUAACACGUGGACAACCUACCCUCAGCACGGGGAUAAACCCGGGAAACUGGGUAUAAUACCCGAUAGUUCUGGUUAGCUGGAAUGCUAUCAGGACGAAAGCUCCGGCGGCCGAGGAUGGGUCUGCGGCCUAUCAGGUAGUAGUGGGUGUAACGUACCUACUAGCCUACGACGGGUACGGGUUGUGAGAGCAAGAGCCCGGAGAUGGAUUCUGAGACACGAAUCCAGGCCCUACGGGGUGCAGCAGGCGCGAAAACUUUACAAUGCUGGCAACAGCGAUAAGGGGACCUCGAGUGCCAGGAUACAAUCUUGGCUGUCGCGAUGCCUAAAAAGCAUUGCAUAGCAAGGGCCGGGCAAGACCGGUGCCAGCCGCCGCGGUAACACCGGCGGCUCGAGUGGUAACCGCUAUUAUUGGGUCUAAAGGGUCUGUAGCCGGCCGGAUAAGUCUCUUGGGAAAUCCAGCAGCUCAACUGUUGGGCUUUCAGGAGAUACUGUUCGGCUCGAGGCCGGGAGAGGUGAGAGGUACUUCAGGGGUAGGGGUGAAAUCUUGUAAUCCUUGAAGGACCACCAGUGGCGAAGGCGUCUCACCAGAACGGUCCUGACGGCAAGGGACGAAAGCUAGGGGCACGAACCGGAUUAGAUACCCGGGUAGUCCUAGCCGUAAACGAUACUCGCUAGGUGUCAGCCACGGUGCGACCGUGGUUGGUGCCGUAGGGAAGCCGUGAAGCGAGCCACCUGGGAAGUACGGCCGCAAGGCUGAAACUUAAAGGAAUUGGCGGGGGAG